UGAAACUUAAGAGGUUCCUGCUCCGAUAUUAUCCUCCAGGUAUCAUCCUGGAGUAUGAGAAAGGAGGACAGCUGAGAACCAAGUCCAUAGACCUUCUGGAUUUAACUCCAAAAACAAACCCUAAUGAAGUGCUUGCAGAGAUCA
Cynoglossus semilaevis (tongue sole) is the source of this 144-nucleotide long non-coding RNA. RefSeq lists it as uncharacterized. The transcript is spliced from 3 exons. The record is from RefSeq and is a predicted model, not a curated record. Lineage: Eukaryota; Metazoa; Chordata; Actinopteri; Pleuronectiformes; Cynoglossidae.